GUCUGCAAAUGGUGUCUCAGAUGAACUAAAGAGUGAGAGCAUUAUGCAGUUAUCAUGGGCUCUUGUUCAUUCCAAACAACCAAAAGAUGUGCAGUGUGGGAUAGCUAUGCUUGAAGCCUCAUUAGCCAAUAGUGGCAGCCCAUUGCAAAAUGAGGGAAAAGCUUUAUCUUCUUGCUUUUGGGUAUUACAGAAGUAGUGAAUAUCGAAGGAGCAGGCAGCUUGCAGAACAAUGUUGGUUCAAAAUAUGAGUAAAGAAGAGUUCUUGAAGAUCCAGGUACUCUUUAAUAAAUGAUAUAUAUACUUAUAUACAUAUAUGUAUAUAUAUAGGCAUUUCCACACUAUUAUGUUGUUUUCUUGAAAUGCUUUGCUUGUUUUGAACUAAAGAUUUGAAAUACUCUUUACCUGUCAUGUUUCUUUUUCUUUUUUCUUUUUUUCUUUACAAUACAUUUGCAAUUGGUUUUGUUGGGAGUUGGGACAAACCAGCAAAAUCAUCAACUUGUUAGUUUGUUACACCCAAAAUACACACAAGAAAUGCAAGAAAUCAGUACAGUUGCUUCCUUGUAGUGGAUAAGGUUAAAAUACCUGCGCUGUUGCUGGGUAAUUUCUUUCUCUAUUUAUCUUUAUCUUUAUCUUUUUUCCUUUUUUUUGGGAGGUAAAUAUUGUAUUCUAAUCCUUGUAAGUUGAAUGUCAGAGAUACAUUUCUUUGUAAUUUGUUGCAUUUGACUCAAGUGGCUCUCGCUCUCUGAGGUAUCUGUGUGUAUGAUUCUUGUAUAUCAUUGGGAGAUACUUUGUGUAAUAUGAGAGGAUAUGUUGGUGUCUAGAAAGUUCAAUUUUCAAUUAUUUGUAUAAGACUGCAGAGAGAGUUGCAUUCAAGAGUACCAUCAUGGGAGGAAGUUAUGAAUAUAAAAUCCAAAUGGCUUUGGAAAUGGCUGCCUUUUUUUUUUUUUUUUUUUUUUUGUUGUUGAGAACAUUGGAUAUGGUUGUUGAUUAUGAGAUUAAUGACUCUUUUGUUUUCAAGUUGUAGAUUAGAAAAAGAAAACAUCAUUUAUUCAUGAAAUAUAAUACUUGAGAGUCGAAACUAGCUGAUUAGAUGAAAAAUUAGCACAAUUUCAAAAAAAAAA
This is a non-coding RNA of Camellia sinensis, 1121 nucleotides long. The record is from RefSeq and is a predicted model, not a curated record. NCBI's taxonomy places the organism in Eukaryota, Viridiplantae, Streptophyta, Magnoliopsida, Ericales, Theaceae.